GCCUCCCUCCGCGCCAUCAGACUCCUACGGGAGGCAGCAGUGGGGAAUAUUGGGCAAUGGGCGAAAGCCUGACCCAGCCAUGCCGCGUGAGUGAUGAAGGCCUUCGGGUCGUAAAGCUCUGUGGGGAGGGACGAAUAAGUCUGUGGCUAAUAUCCACGGACCUUGACGGUACCUCCCUAGCAAGCACCGGCUAACUCCGUGCCAGCAGCCGCGGUAAUAC
Molecule: ribosomal RNA, 220 nt
Filed under: uncultured bacterium
Lineage: Bacteria
Description: partial 16S ribosomal RNA
Rfam family: Bacterial small subunit ribosomal RNA
Source: RNAcentral